GUUGUAUUAACAUAGUAACAGUGAUGUCCCAGGGCAGGCGUCAGGAAUAUCAUCACGUGAAACAGAGAGUUCUCGAAAUAUUAGGUCCAAGUAGUACAUCAUCACCAUCAUUAGAACCGAGUACUUCAACGAUCUUUUGAGAUUGCAUGUAGAUAAAAAAAAUGCAGAGAUAGAAAUGGAUAAGAACACCAUCAAAAUAAAAAGGUACGAAGAAUUGAAGAAAUUCGAUGCUGAUAUACUUAUAUAUGAUCUAGAAUAUUUGAAAAAAUGUGUAGGUAGAAUUAUGUAUCUACUCUUUUGGGAUAUGCUUUCAAUUUUUGGUUUUGGUCUUUUUUAUUCUAGAGAAAAAAUUCUACAAUUUGAAAGACAGAAAAAUCUAUAUAUACAAAUAUUUUUCAGUUGUCCAAAUUUGGCCUCAACGGGGGUAAGGACGUAGCAGAGACAACACGCAAAAUAAUCUAACUCAUAAUAAGCCAUGAAUCAAGAAUUUCCCUGAAUUGGUCGGGUGGGAAUUAAUAAUAAAAAUGGAUUAGAAGCAAUGGCGAAUAUUGUUGAGCUUAAUCAUGGAUCUGUAAGGAUAAAUCCUAUUACAAGAAGUGCCACUGAUGUGGAAAUGAAUCAUGUAAUGAAUUGGCUUCGCAAUGCCGGUGACAGAGCAGGGGGCAGAUUGAAAAGAGCGGAGGAAAAAGAAGCAGGCUAU
Molecule: long non-coding RNA, 700 nt
Organism: Coccinella septempunctata (seven-spotted ladybird)
Lineage: Eukaryota; Metazoa; Arthropoda; Insecta; Coleoptera; Coccinellidae
Exons: 3
Source: RefSeq, a predicted model, not a curated record